RNAcentral lists this ribosomal RNA (253 nucleotides) under uncultured bacterium. RNAcentral describes it as "partial 16S ribosomal RNA". It matches the Rfam family "Bacterial small subunit ribosomal RNA", at positions 524 to 776 of the family's 1533-position model. The record is from RNAcentral.
UACGAAGGGGGCUAGCGUUGCUCGGAAUCACUGGGCGUAAAGCGCACGUAGGCGGAUUGUUAAGUCAGGGGUGAAAUCCUGGAGCUCAACUCCAGAACUGCCUUUGAUACUGGCGAUCUCGAGUCCGGGAGAGGUGAGUGGAACUGCGAGUGUAGAGGUGAAAUUCGUAGAUAUUCGUAAGAACACCAGUGGCGAAGGCGACUUUCUGGCUCGAUACUGACGCUAAGGCGCGAAAGCGUGGGGAGCAAACAGG